This 200-nucleotide ribosomal RNA is filed under the name uncultured Aerococcus sp. Its description in RNAcentral is "partial 16S ribosomal RNA". It matches the Rfam family "Bacterial small subunit ribosomal RNA", at positions 162 to 354 of the family's 1533-position model. The record is from RNAcentral. Lineage: Bacteria; Bacillati; Bacillota; Bacilli; Lactobacillales; Aerococcaceae.
GCUAAUACCGCAUAGGAAGUUUGUUCGCAUGAACAAACUUAGAAAGAUGGCUCUGCUAUCACUUAUCGAUGGCCUUGCGGUGCAUUAACUAGUUGGCGAGGUAACGGCUCACCAAGGUGAUGAUGCAUAGCCGACCUGAGAGGGUAAUCGGCCACAUUGGGACUGAGACACGGCCCAAACUCCUACGGGAGGCAGCAGGC